AUGAUAUUGUGUCCGGUUGACUGUGUUUCAAAUGUUCGCUGAUAGUCUAAGAGGAUCAAUAGAGACAUAAAAAUUUAUUUAAAAAAUUAUUUAAAGCAUUGUAAAUACAAUACUAAUAAACAUAACUGAGCAGCAGGACUACUCGCUGUGCUAAUAUAUAAAACAACAGGUGCUAUCGAGUAAUAUGAAAUAAGAGAGAUCAAGCAACCGAGAAAGAAAAGGAAUAAAAAGAGAAGGCACAAUGGAUUCUUGAAUAAUAAUAUUGUACAAUUUGUAUUCCAUUGGCAGUCUAUACUAGCCACACUUUCUUGACUGUUAUUUAAAAAUGUCAGAGAAAGAUGACGAUGACGAUGAGGGCG
This is a long non-coding RNA of Acromyrmex echinatior (Panamanian leafcutter ant), 359 nucleotides long. The record is from RefSeq and is a predicted model, not a curated record. Lineage: Eukaryota; Metazoa; Arthropoda; Insecta; Hymenoptera; Formicidae.